GAACGCUGGCGGCGUGCUUAACACAUGCAAGUCGAACGAGAAAGUGGACUUCGGUCCGCGAGUAAAGUGGCGCACGGGUGAGUAACGCGUGAAUAAUCUAACCCCUGAAUUUGGGGAUAACAGUUCGAAAGGGCUGCUAAUACCGGAUAAUAUUGUCUUUUUUUACGGAUUUAGACAAUCAAAGAGGGCCUCUCCUUGGAAGCUUUUGUUUGGGGAUGAGUUCGCGUCCCAUUAGUUAGUUGGUGAGGUAACGGCUCACCAAGACAUCGAUGGGUAGCUGGUCUGAGAGGAUGAUCAGCCACACUGGAACUGACACACGGUCCAGACUCCUACGGGAGGCAGCAGUGAGGAAUUUUGCGCAAUGGGCGAAAGCCUGACGCAGCAACGCCGCGUGAGUGAUGAAGGCUCUUGGGUCGUAAAGCUCUGUCAAGUGGGAAGAAACCUCUUGGAGUUAAUACCUUCAAGACUUGACGGUACCACUGAAGGAAGCACCGGCUAACUCCGUG
RNAcentral lists this ribosomal RNA (506 nucleotides) under uncultured bacterium. RNAcentral describes it as "bacterial SSU rRNA". It matches the Rfam family "Bacterial small subunit ribosomal RNA", at positions 31 to 507 of the family's 1533-position model. The record is from RNAcentral.